Molecule: long non-coding RNA, 237 nt
Filed under: Homo sapiens (human)
Lineage: Eukaryota; Metazoa; Chordata; Mammalia; Primates; Hominidae
Description: LNC_000714
Source: RNAcentral
GUGGGGGAUGGGCAGCCUGGACAAGGGGCUGAGGCCCAGCAGCGGGGUGGUGGCCAUGGCGGCCGCGGCAGCCAUGGCCGAGGGGGCAGCCAGAGGGUCCACGGGCAGCUCCGGGCUCUGCUCCUGCUUCACCAUGAUGGAGCACAGUUUGUGUCCCAGCGCCCAUGCUCCAUGCUCUGCAUCUUGGGUGGUGUCCUCCAUCUUGAUGGGCACAAGGGGGCUCUGGGGCGCUGAGUC